GACGAACGCUGGCGGCGUGCUUAACACAUGCAAGUCGAACGGAAAGGCCUCUUUCGGGGGGUACUCGAGUGGCGAACGGGUGAGUAACACGUGAGUAACCUGCCCUUGACUUUGGGAUAACUUCAGGAAACUGGGGCUAAUACCGGAUAGGAGCUCCUGCUGCAUGGUGGGGGUUGGAAAGUUUCGGCGGUUGGGGAUGGACUCGCGGCUUAUCAGCUUGUUGGUGGGGUAGUGGCUUACCAAGGCGUUGACGGGUAGCCGGCCUGAGAGGGUGACCGGCCACAUUGGGACUGAGAUACGGCCCAGACUCCUACGGGAGGCAGCAGUGGGGAAUAUUGCACAAUGGGUGGAAGCCUGAUGCAGCAACGCCGUGUGCGGGAUGACGGUCUUCGGGUUGUAAACCGCUUUCGCUCAUGACGAAGCUUUGUGUGACGGUAGUGGGUAAAGAAGCACCGGCUAACUACGUG
RNAcentral lists this ribosomal RNA (467 nucleotides) under uncultured bacterium. RNAcentral describes it as "partial 16S ribosomal RNA". It matches the Rfam family "Bacterial small subunit ribosomal RNA", at positions 28 to 507 of the family's 1533-position model. The record is from RNAcentral.